Molecule: RNA transcript, 247 nt
Organism: Coregonus clupeaformis (lake whitefish)
Lineage: Eukaryota; Metazoa; Chordata; Actinopteri; Salmoniformes; Salmonidae
Exons: 3
Source: RefSeq, a predicted model, not a curated record
AUGGUCUCUCUACAGGUGGAGAGCUGGAAAAGGAAAGCCACAGAGACAUGCUCCUCCAGUAACCAGCUGCUAGCUGCAGCUAGAAGAAAGUCCCAGCAGGACAAUAAGGAACAGGAAGGGAUGCCAAAGGUUUGGCCAGUGCAUGAUGAAGUUUAGAUCCGUUGACGAGCCACAUGGAGAUGGUAACAGAGAUCGUGGUUCCUACAGUGUGUACUCUCUGUAUUCUCCUGGCUGCGGUCUUCCUCAU